Molecule: small RNA, 646 nt
Filed under: Pongo abelii (Sumatran orangutan)
Lineage: Eukaryota; Metazoa; Chordata; Mammalia; Primates; Hominidae
Description: retained intron
Source: RNAcentral
AGGCUGAGGCAGGAGGAUCACCUGAGCCUGGGAGGUCAAGGCUACAGUGAGCUGUGGGCGACAGAGUGAGACCCUGUAUCAAAAAAAGGAGACCUGAGGAGGGCCUUGAGCAGAUACAUCUCCUCUCUCAUCCACUCAGGUGGCCACUAACACAGACACCAGCCGAAAUGCUGGAAAUGCGGUCCUGUUUGAGACAGUACUCACCAUCAUGGACAUCCGCUCUGCAGCUGGCCUACGGGUUCUAGCUGUCAACAUUCUUGGCCGCUUCCUACUCAACAGUGACAGGAACAUUAGGUAUGUAGCCCUGACAUCACUGCUUCGACUGGUGCAGUCUGAUCACAGUGCUGUGCAGCGGCAUCGGCCCACUGUGGUGGAAUGUCUACGGGAAACUGAUGCCUCCCUCAGCCGGAGAGCCCUGGAACUGAGCCUGGCUCUGGUAAAUAGCUCCAACGUGCGAGCCAUGAUGCAAGAGCUGCAGGCCUUUCUGGAGUCCUGCCCUCCUGACCUACGGGCUGACUGUGCCUCAGGCAUCCUGCUGGCUGCAGAGAGGUGAGGUGCCCAGGAGUCAAAGAGGGUAGAAUCUGGGGAGGGUCAGUACCAGGACUGAUGAGCCAUAUAUCCCCUAGGUUUGCUCCAACCAAACGCU